This is a non-coding RNA of Vicugna pacos (alpaca), 1414 nucleotides long. The record is from RefSeq and is a predicted model, not a curated record. NCBI's taxonomy places the organism in Eukaryota, Metazoa, Chordata, Mammalia, Artiodactyla, Camelidae.
GCGGGUCUGCCUUCUCUGCCACCUUUUUAACUGUGUUUCCUGGCCCUCAGUGGAAGCCCAGCCCCUGCGGUGGGGAACAGUGAUGCUCCUCAGCAGGAAGUUGGCCGCUUUUCAGCUCCAGCCACAGCACAACUGUGAUACCCGUUUAUGCCGGACACUCCUGAGGGCUCCGCCGUGAGGCCGCUCUGACCUGCCAGCUCUGGAAGAUGGUUCUGCUCUACCCAGAAAGUCUCAUUAUAUCUUCAGGGCAAACCAGCUCAGUCCUGCCAGCAUGAAACCUGCUCAGCUCCUCCUCCUCCUGCUUUUCCAGUCUCAAGUUUCACAAACCAGCUCAACCCCACAAAUUGUGAAUGGGGCUCUGGGGGAGUCAGUAGUGCUUCCCCUGCAGUUUUCUGCAGAGAAGAGGAUUAUCUCUAUCGUCUGGCUUCACAACGGAAUGUCUAUCGCCUUCACACAGUUAGAAGGACAAAGUUCACUGACAUAUAUAACUGAUCCAAAAUGGAAAAAUCGAUUGAGUGUCACUAACUCCCACUCCUUGCAAAUCAGCAACCUGACAAUGGCAGAUGCAGGAUCUUACAGCACCCACAUAACCACAAUGACCUCUUCAGUGGUGUCCACUUAUGAUCUGAGGAUCUUCAAGAGACUGCCAAGGCCUCAAGUUCAAGUGGAUUCCCUCUCCUGUGAGCACAGCACCUGUACUGUCACCUUGAGGUGUUCCGUGGAGGAAGGAGGAGAGAACAUCAUAUAUGAGUGGACAAAAACAGGACCAAGGACUGUUCUGACCCAGGAAGGAUCAGUCCUCAGUGACUCCUGAGGAACUACACCUGCACAGCUACGAACCCUGUUAGCAACAGCACGUCCAGCCUCAACCUUGUUCAGCAGCUUUGUGCAGGUUCCAAGGCAGCUACAGGCGCUUUCUCCCCAGUGACAUGGAUUCUCCUCGGAAAGGGGCUUCUCCUUGUAUCCUGGGGGUUCUAGGAACUUGGCACUUCCAGACACAGGUACUCAGUAGACCUCUCAAGUCAAUUCAGGGCAAUAAAAGCACUAGUGCCCCAGAAUAGUCAGGCUGUGUCCUGGAUGAGGCCAUCACUCCUCCAUAGCUCAGUUAAGUCCCAUUUACUGACAUGUAUACCUUUCAAGGUGCACUGCUAUAUAUUUUCAAAGGCCAGUUUCAUAUCCUGGCAUGUGUGAGCCCAAAUGCACACACAUUGCAUGAGAAUGAGGAAGUUUUAGCAAGAAAAGAUAAAAUAACUGCAUGAAAACCAUGUUUUCUAGUCUAAGAAGUAUUUUCCUCCAUAAUUUAAGCUUUCUGAAAUCAAGAUGAAUCAUAAUGUUGGUGUGUGUGGCUAAAAGAGAUAAUGUACUUUUCUCUUAAAAGGCUUUUUAUUAAAAUGAUCCUGCUUUUAAAAAUCCA